Molecule: ribosomal RNA, 433 nt
Filed under: uncultured bacterium
Lineage: Bacteria
Description: partial 16S ribosomal RNA
Rfam family: Bacterial small subunit ribosomal RNA
Source: RNAcentral
AACGAACGCUGGCGGCAUGCCUAACACAUGCAAGUCGAACGAGACCUUCGGGUCUAGUUGCGCACGGGUGCGUAACGCGUGGGAACCUGCCCUUAGGUUCGGAAUAACUCCCCGAAAGGGGUGCUAAUACCGGAUAAUGUCUUCUGACCAAAGAUUUAUCGCCUUUGGAUGGGCCCGCGUUGGAUUAGCUUGUUGGUAGGGUAAAAGCCUACCAAGGCUAGGAUCCAUAGCUGGUCUGAGAGAAUGAGCAGCCACACUGGGACUGAGACACGGCCCAGACUCCUACGGGAGGGUGCAGUGGGUAAUAUUGGACAACGGGCGAAAGCCUGAUCCAGCAAUGCCGCGUGAGUGAUGAAGGCCUGAGGGUUGUAAAGCUCUUUUACCCGGGAUGAUAAUGACAGUACCGGGAGAAUAAGCUCCGGCUAACUCCGUG